CCUACGGGAUGCAGCAGUGGGGAAUAUUGCACAAUGGGCGCAAGCCUGAUGCAGCCAUGCCGCGUGUAUGAAGAAGGCCUUCGGGUUGUAAAGUACUUUCAGCGGGGAGGAAGGUGUUGAGGUUAAUAACCUCAGCAAUUGACGUUACCCGCAGAAGAAGCACCGGCUGACUCCGUGCCAGCAGCCGCGGUAAUACGGAGGGUGCAAGCGUUAAUCGGAGUUACUGGGCGUAAAGCGCACGCAGGCGGUCUGUCAAGUCGGAUGUGAAAUCCCCGGGCUCAACCUGGGAACUGCAUUCGAAACUGGCAGGCUGGAGUCUUGUAGAGGGGGGUAGAAUUCCAGGUGUAGCGGUGAAAUGCGUAGAGAUCUGGAGGAAUACCGGUGGCAAAGGCGGCCCCCUGGACAAAGACUGACGCUCAGGUGCGGAAGCGUGGGGAGCAAACAGGAUUAGAUACCCCCGUAGUC
Molecule: ribosomal RNA, 465 nt
Filed under: uncultured bacterium
Lineage: Bacteria
Description: bacterial SSU rRNA
Rfam family: Bacterial small subunit ribosomal RNA
Source: RNAcentral